GUGGAUUCAGGUGUUACUGGAGAAAUUUCACUCCCAGGUUUGAUUGAAACUGCAUCGCAAGCAAUCAAACAGCAGGUCCUUCCAGGGUGACCUGCUGGCAGCAUUUGUGGAGGAACACAAAAGAACAAUAUGUACUUACAACAGCAUCAGAUUCAAUAUCCAGAGACAGGCCCUUUAACAGGCUUAGUCAGGUGUGUGAGGGCGAGUGACAGCGCUAGUUGGAGCAAAUUGGGUCCACCCAAAACCCCUGACGUGAUUUGGAUGAAGCCACAGGAGCACAGAUUCCGACUCAGGAUGAGGCCAUUAACGUAAAUGAAUGACACGUCCCUGCCAUGUCAGAGGUCAAACACCCCCAUUAUAAGUGAAUUAUUUCUACAAGGGAAUGAAAAACUAAACUCUAUGUCACAAGCCUC
Acanthopagrus latus (yellowfin seabream) is the source of this 413-nucleotide long non-coding RNA. RefSeq lists it as uncharacterized. The transcript has 3 exons. The record is from RefSeq and is a predicted model, not a curated record. NCBI's taxonomy places the organism in Eukaryota, Metazoa, Chordata, Actinopteri, Spariformes, Sparidae.